This is a long non-coding RNA of Oreochromis aureus, 772 nucleotides long. The record is from Ensembl. NCBI's taxonomy places the organism in Eukaryota, Metazoa, Chordata, Actinopteri, Cichliformes, Cichlidae.
AGGUGAAGCACGAAAAGCAUCAGCUUCUGAAAGGUAGGACCAAACAGAGCCUAUGGAAGUUGAAGCUUCUGCUGAAGGCAAAGAUAAUCAGGCGUUACCAGCUAUAUCUAGUGAGAAUCAACUACCAACUAAUGCAGCUGAGACCAAGCCAAAUAUAUCGCCACCAAAACCUACUGAUCCACCUCAGAUACCACAAACUUUCAUCAAACGUCCAGAAGAUUCACUCAAAGCUUCAGAAGAGACCGAGCAGAGUUCAGAUUCUGCUGUACAAGAAGAAACAACAGCAGACUGCAGGAAAAUCACCUGAGAUUUCUGGGGAGGCAAAGCAGACAGUUGAAAGUGUAGAAACGGUCACAAAGGACAAAGACUCUGUGACUGCAGAGAAGAUCUCAAAGGAUCAGCCGGUCGCUGUUACCCACCCAACAUUUUGGGAGCGGAUACAAGAGCAAUUGCAUCCAGAAAGAAUCCGUAAGAAAUCCCCAAAGGAAUUGGGACGGAGGAUUCACGGACACAAGGAAGCACUUGAAGGAGAGACGGGCACUCACUACCACACACGGGCUAGCACGGGAGGAAGGACACACUAACAAUCAUUCUUGCACAUUCGAACUGUUGUCACCUUGCUGCACUCUUGUUCCGCUUGAUUACAAGGUGCUGUUAAUAAGCAACCUGCCAGGGUAUCACGAUGGCUGUUACGCAGAGGAGGACAUCUCCGGUCUGCUCACUCUACACAGACUUGAAUAUUACGACGACACAAUCUACGUUAUACCACCAG